This is a long non-coding RNA of Humulus lupulus (European hop), 317 nucleotides long. RefSeq lists it as uncharacterized. Lineage: Eukaryota; Viridiplantae; Streptophyta; Magnoliopsida; Rosales; Cannabaceae. The record is from RefSeq and is a predicted model, not a curated record. The transcript is spliced from 3 exons.
UUUCCGUUCCCUGUUCUCUCACAGCCCUGUUCUCUGCCGUUCCGUUCCGUUCUCACAGCCGUUCCGUUGGAGUCCCUGAUGUUUUGAUCUUCAACAACAAUCGCCUCUUCCAGUUCUUCCUCAAGACCGAUUCAACUGCAACUGCUGGGUUUACCCAGCUACCGAUUAAUACAAGACGAGCUCAAAUCUCUGCAAUGGCGACUUGCACUGUGAGUGUGCUCAGGUGACUGGCUCCAGCGACUCUGCUUCAUCGACGUGUUGCGUGGUGCUCAGCUUUGGAAGAAGGCUAUGCUCAUCUAUUUGAAGAGAAGUGUAUA